AUUUUCUUUUCUUUUCUUCUUUUUUUUUUUGAACUUCAGCAACUCGUGUAGAGACCCCAGGGCCACAUGUGGCAGAAUUUUACUGAUAAUUGUUUCUUACCAUGUAUAUGGAGAAACCCGACUAAUAACCUUUCUUAAACCCAAUACUUUUUAACUAGAACUUUAUUUGAUUAAUCUCAUGGAAUGUGGGAGGAGAAAAUCUUGAGAUAGAUAUGUCAAAGAUUUCAGAAGAAUUGGGUGAAACAUGAAUUCACCAAAGGAAAAGCAUGUGUGGCACUUAUCGAGGACAAAGCACUGGAGAGCCAAGUUACACUAUAAGAGAAAGUGUGAUAAAAAUUUGAGUAUGUUUAAGGGUUGAAGGUUUAGCAAAUUGAAUGGAAUCGCUCAAGGAAUGUUGAUGGAAUGUGUGAGAAAAGAUGUGGAAAACUUGCUGUGGCAGCAGAUGCAGACUUUAAUUGGAACAGGCGGC
RNAcentral lists this long non-coding RNA (469 nucleotides) under Elaeis guineensis (African oil palm). RNAcentral describes it as "long non-coding RNA (EGUI_LNC069873)". The record is from RNAcentral. Lineage: Eukaryota; Viridiplantae; Streptophyta; Magnoliopsida; Arecales; Arecaceae.